UACGGGGGGGGCAAGCGUUGUUCGGAAUUACUGGGCGUAAAGGGCUCGUAGGUGGCCAACUAAGUCAGACGUGAAAUCCCUCGGCUUAACCGGGGAACUGCGUCUGAUACUGGAUGGCUUGAGGUUGGGAGAGGGAUGCGGAAUUCCAGGUGUAGCGGUGAAAUGCGUAGAUAUCGGGAGGAAUACCUAUGGCGAAAGCAGGCUACUGGACCGUCACUGACUCUGAUCUGCGAAAGCUAGGGGAGCAAACAGG
Molecule: ribosomal RNA, 253 nt
Filed under: uncultured bacterium
Lineage: Bacteria
Description: partial 16S ribosomal RNA
Rfam family: Bacterial small subunit ribosomal RNA
Source: RNAcentral